This 381-nucleotide ribosomal RNA is filed under the name uncultured bacterium. RNAcentral describes it as "bacterial SSU rRNA". It matches the Rfam family "Bacterial small subunit ribosomal RNA", at positions 524 to 903 of the family's 1533-position model. The record is from RNAcentral.
UACGAAGGGGGCUAGCGUUGCUCGGAAUUACUGGGCGUAAAGGGAGCGUAGGCGGACAGUUAAGUUAGAGGUGAAAGCCCAGGGCUCAACCUUGGAAUUGCCUUUGAUACUGGCAGUCUUGAGUACGGAAGAGGUAUGUGGAACUCCGAGUGUAGAGGUGAAAUUCGUAGAUAUUCGGAAGAACACCAGUGGCGAAGGCGACAUACUGGUCCGUUACUGACGCUGAGGCUCGAAAGCGUGGGGGAGCAAACAGGAUUAGAUACCCUGGUAGUCCACGCCGUAAACGAUGAGUGCUAGUUGUCGGCAUGCAUGCAUGUCGGUGACGCAGCUAACGCAUUAAGCACUCCGCCUGGGGAGUACGGUCGCAAGAUUAAAAACUCA